Molecule: ribosomal RNA, 496 nt
Filed under: uncultured bacterium
Lineage: Bacteria
Description: partial 16S ribosomal RNA
Rfam family: Bacterial small subunit ribosomal RNA
Source: RNAcentral
AUGAACGCUGGCGGCGUGCCUAAUACAUGCAAGUCGAGCGAACGGACGAGAAGCUUGCUUCUCUGAUGUUAGCGGCGGACGGGUGAGUAACACGUGGAUAACCUACCUAUAAGACUGGGAUAACUUCGGGAAACCGGAGCUAAUACCGGAUAAUAUUUUGAACCGCAUGGUUCAAAAGUGAAAGACGGUCUUGCUGUCACUUAUAGAUGGAUCCGCGCUGCAUUAGCUAGUUGGUAAGGUAACGGCUUACCAAGGCAACGAUGCAUAGCCGACCUGAGAGGGUGAUCGGCCACACUGGAACUGAGACACGGUCCAGACUCCUACGGGAGGCAGCAGUAGGGAAUCUUCCGCAAAGGGCGAAAGCCUGACGGAGCAACGCCGCGUGAGUGAUGAAGGUCCUCGGAUCGUAAAACUCUGUUAUUAGGGAAGAACAUAUGUGUAAGUAACUGUGCACAUCUUGACGGUACCUAAUCAGAAAGCCACGGCUAACUACGUG